This 253-nucleotide ribosomal RNA is filed under the name uncultured bacterium. RNAcentral's name for it is "partial 16S ribosomal RNA". It matches the Rfam family "Bacterial small subunit ribosomal RNA", at positions 524 to 776 of the family's 1533-position model. The record is from RNAcentral.
UACGAAGGGUGCAAGCGUUAGUCGGAAUUACUGGGCGUAAAGCGUGCGUAGGCGGUUUCUUAAGUCCGUUGUGAAAGCCCUGGGCUCAACCUGGGAACUGCAGUGGAUACUGAGAGGCUAGAGUGUGUCAGAGGAUGGUGGAAUUCCCGGUGUAGCGGUGAAAUGCGUAGAGAUCGGGAGGAACAUCAGUGGCGAAGGCGGCCAUCUGGGACAACACUGACGCUGAGGCACGAAAGCGUGGGGAGCAAACAGG